RNAcentral lists this transfer RNA (82 nucleotides) under Prototheca cutis. Its description in RNAcentral is "tRNA-Tyr". It matches the Rfam family "tRNA". Rfam says of the family: Transfer RNA (tRNA) molecules are approximately 80 nucleotides in length. RNAcentral also lists the same sequence under 1 other name. The record is from RNAcentral. Lineage: Eukaryota; Viridiplantae; Chlorophyta; Trebouxiophyceae; Chlorellales; Chlorellaceae.
GGGUCGAUGCCCGAGUGGUUAAAGGGGACGGACUGUAAAUCCGUUGGUUUCGCCUACGCUGGUUCAAAUCCAGCUCGGCCCA